AACGUAGGAGGCGAGCGUUAUCCGGAUUUACUGGGUGUAAAGCGCGUGCAGGCGGUUCGCUAAGUUGGAUGUGAAAGCUCCCGGCUCAACUGGGAGAGGUCGUACAAGACUGGCGGACUGGAGUGUGGUAGGGGAAGGUGGAAUUCCGGGUGUAGUGGUGAAAUGCGUAGAUAUCCGGAGGAACACCAGUGGCGAAAGCGGCCUUCUAGACCACAACUGACGCUCAGACGCGAAAGCUAGGGUAGCAAACGGG
Molecule: ribosomal RNA, 253 nt
Filed under: uncultured Anaerolineaceae bacterium
Lineage: Bacteria; Bacillati; Chloroflexota; Anaerolineae; Anaerolineales; Anaerolineaceae
Description: partial 16S ribosomal RNA
Rfam family: Bacterial small subunit ribosomal RNA
Source: RNAcentral